UACAGAGGUCUCAAGCGUUGUUCGGAUUCAUUGGGCGUAAAGGGUGCGUAGGCGGCGCGGUAAGUCACUUGUGAAAUCUCUGAGCUUAACUCAGAACGGCCAAGUGAUACUGCAGUGCUAGAGUGUGGAAGGGGCAAUCGGAAUUCUUGGUGUAGCGGUGAAAUGCGCAGAUAUCAGGAGGAACACCGAUUGCGAAGGCAGCUCGCUGGGACGUUACUGACGCUGAGACGCGAAAGCGUGGGGAGCAAACAGG
This 253-nucleotide ribosomal RNA is filed under the name uncultured bacterium. RNAcentral's name for it is "partial 16S ribosomal RNA". It matches the Rfam family "Bacterial small subunit ribosomal RNA", at positions 524 to 776 of the family's 1533-position model. The record is from RNAcentral.